This 3023-nucleotide long non-coding RNA is filed under the name Mus musculus (house mouse). RNAcentral describes it as "long non-coding RNA chr6:129522561-129525584". Lineage: Eukaryota; Metazoa; Chordata; Mammalia; Rodentia; Muridae. The record is from RNAcentral.
GCAAAACUUGGUUUUGUGAAAGUAAAGGCUGCUUUCUAUAAUAACACUUAGUUGUCUUGACUCUGAAUUACUCUGAGGCCAGAUGCUGCAGGCCUAUGGCAAUUAACACUCAAUUGUUAAAAGUAGAGGGAUUAAGUAAAGGAUUUAUCCUUUCUUAGGUCAAGCUGCCAGGAGUUCUCACAGACUAGGCUGGUUAACUCUUUGUGAACCAGAAAAGAAAGAAGAAGUCACUCAUACAGAAAACAUCACACUAGAUCAGGCAGAAAAUGGCUACAUCAUCUUUAUUUAUUGCUUUCAGUCUUUUAUAUCCUUAAUACAAUGGAUUCUCUGUGUAAGAAAGAUUUACCUCAUAGAUAAAAUGUUACAUAAAGGUGAGUCACAGAAAAAUGUUGAUAUUAAGUUUAAAGCAGUGUUUUGUUCUUUAAGCUCAUUUUAAGUUCAAAGCAACAGUUUCUCAUAGCCUUGUCUUAUCAUAGGCACACCUGUGGCUUCAUCCUUGGACCUGAAUGCUUUUCCUUGAACACAAAUUUGUCCCAAUUCUAUAUCUCUUUUUGAUGUAAUUAUGAAAACUCAUUGUAUUUCUUACUAAUGCAGCCUUUACUUACUAUUAUGAGGAGUGGCACAUUAUAGUCUUGAUUUUAUCUUUAUUACAUCUUUCUAGCAAAACGACUAAAACCAUUUGUUAAAAUUUUCUCCCUAAGAUCAAAUCAGGGAUUAGCAAUUCAUCUAAACAGCAUUAAUUCAUGAAAGUUCAUCUGUAUAUUGACCUGCAGAAAAAUUUGCCUAAUAAUGUAGGCUAAUACUUAGUAAUUGUAUUAUUUUAAUAAUGACAGGAAAGACAUAUCAAUAGCAAGAAGCAAUCCUGGGAUGAAGGAUUUCAUGUCAGGGCCUUGGUUCCCAGAGUCCAUCCAUCGCAGAUCAUGUAAAAAUGGUGGACCAUCUCAGGCUAGCCAUAGAAUCAUCAUCCACUAGCCAUAGGAUCUCCUAGAUGGCUUCUGACACACCAUAGAUGAGGUGAUCAUUCCCCAUCCUCCUUUUAGUGUCUUUCUUCCUUUUGCUUCUGCUUUCUUCAUAGCUUCUUCCAUGUAGAGUAUUUACAUUACUAUGAAAAGAAGGCAGGAAGCAUAGCAUUAUAGAAGAAAAGGGAUACAUUGUUAGGCUUAGUUUUAAGUGAUUUAAUGUAGACAUUGAAGUCAAAGUCAAUGAAGAAUUGGUUAAUAUCUUAUUGGCAGUGAAUGCCGUGGUGUGAUCAAUGUUUUAGAAAGAGCUGUAAAGGAGAUUUGAAUCCCUUGAUGACAUUCAAUGAAAAAGACUUAUCUUCUAUGGAGAAGCCGAAGAUCUCGGAUAAAAAAAAACAAUGAGGGGAUAAAGAUUAUGGGGUGUGUGUAAAAUGAUGGCAACUGGCUCUCUUUUUAAACAACAUACUUAGCUGUGCCCAAGUUGAAAUCUGUCAGAAAACAAAGAGGUUAGCUGUUUGUUCUCAGUGUCUCCCCUCUAAUUUGAAUCAAUGGAGAUUCAGCAGCUUUUCUUUCUCAGCCCGCACAAACACAACACAGAUUUAUUCCAUAUCCACUAGUGCUUACUCUGAAGUGUCUCAGGGUGACUACAGUUCAUUUUUUCACUUCACAUUGAUCAAAAUUAUAACUCCUGCAAACACUCAGAACUCAGUCUAGUAUGAUGCUUGUAUAUGAAGGAGUGUCCCUAUCUACACCAUAGGAUAAAGUGACCUGGACAGCCCCAGGCUCCACACGUCUCUGGAAUCAUCAGGAGAUGAGAACCUAGGCUCUGAAGGCUAUAACAGCCUAGGUUCUACAUCUGUCCUUCAUAGGCCAAUUAAACAAGUAUGUAAUAGUGAAAGGCAAGGGAGGGAGGUUUGUUCAGUGUGAACACACUGGGAAUAGGAUAAGAAGGUUCCCCUCCUUCCACCUAAAGUCUAUCUUUCAUGUUGUAACAUGAAUUUAGAUUUAAAUAAAGGACCAGAGGUACAUGUGGCUAAGCAGUAGGAAUCUACCCAUCAUCAGUGGACUCCUAUCUUUCUUAUGGGGUAGUCUGAUAAGUUUUCAGAACUGGAGACCAGUUCCUCUUCAGGUAGGCACUAGGCUUCCUUGGCCUUUUGCUCUCCUAUCAUGAGGUUCUAGGAAAAGUUCCAAUUUCUUGGGAUACAUCAUUGCUACGCCCAUUCCAGUGAAGUCUGCUUGACAGGCCGAAAGGCCUGGAAGCACUCACGAGGCAAAGAGUUUCAAGGAAAUUAUGCCUCCUGGAACCUUGGCAAUCCUUUGUGCUUCCUUUCAGUAUUGUUUUGUUAUAGGUGUCACCAAGCAAUGACUUGCCAAAUACCUAAGCAAAAUUGAACUUUGCUUCCUGGCCUUCACCAAUGCCCUAGGUAGUCCUUGAGCCGACACUGGGCUUGGAAUUCAGUAAGAAUGUUGCCUAUUCAGUGACAUUCAGAAUUGCCUCUAGUAUUGUAAGAGAGAUAGUGAAAGAAAUCACGUUUUACUAUCUACUACAUAGAGUUAGAAAUCUCAGGGCAAGCUAAGCAAUGUAAGUUUAGAAUUCUUAUUAUAGUUAUGUAUGGCAGACUAUAUUACUUAUUAGUAGAAAGUCCCCCCACACUAUCACUUAGAAUAAAAAGCCAAGUUGCUCCCAUAUACAGGAAUUUUCAAUGGUUUAGGAAGUAGAUCGGGCUGUGAUUUUAGAGUAUUGCAUUAUUCAUGAGAAGGUUAGCUAGAGCAGAACUCCUUAAUUAGAACCAUGGCUUGGGCAUGAAAGCCCUUGGCCCAGGAAUGUAAAGACCUCACACCUGGCUUCUAAGAAUAUAGAUGACCUUAGAUAAAGCUGACUUUGUCUCAGUUGUUUUAUUGCCCAGUUCUUUCCAGUCUUUGUGUUUGCAUUCCUCUGUUUUGUGUUAGAGUCAUUAAGUAUCCGGUAACCUCAUUGUACCUUGCUGAUGUGUCACCUAACUUCCCUAUUUUCUUCUGUAUAAAACGUGUGAUGCUCAAUUUGACAUUAUAUUCAGAUUCACC